Molecule: ribosomal RNA, 502 nt
Filed under: uncultured bacterium
Lineage: Bacteria
Description: partial 16S ribosomal RNA
Rfam family: Bacterial small subunit ribosomal RNA
Source: RNAcentral
AUUGAACGCUGGCGGAAUGCUUUACACAUGCAAGUCGAACGGCAGCAUAGGUGCUUGCACCUGAUGGCGAGUGGCGAACGGGUGAGUAAUACAUCGGAACGUGCCCAGUCGUGGGGGAUAACGUAGCGAAAGUUACGCUAAUACCGCAUACGAUCUACGGAUGAAAGCGGGGGACCGUAAGGCCUCGCGCGAUUGGAGCGGCCGAUGACAGAUUAGGUAGUUGGUGAGGUAAAGGCUCACCAAGCCGACGAUCUGUAGCUGGUCUGAGAGGACGACCAGCCACACUGGGACUGAGACACGGCCCAGACUCCUACGGGAGGCAGCAGUGGGGAAUUUUGGACAAUGGACGCAAGUCUGAUCCAGCCAUUCCGCGUGCAGGACGAAGGCCUUCGGGUUGUAAACUGCUUUUGUACGGAACGAAAAAGCUCUUACUAAUACUAGGAGUCCAUGACGGUACCGUAAGAAUAAGCACCGGCUAACUACGUGCCAGCCGCCGCCGUAA